UCUAUCAAUUCCCAUUCUUGUUGAAUCGUGUUAUUAGUAUUAUCAGAAAACGACACAUUUCGACAGCAACCGUUGAAACAUAAAGAAAAUAAUAGUGAUAACUAAGUCACAUUUCAUAGUGUAUGAAAAUCUGUGACCGGAAAAAAUCUAGAAGAAAGUAAGAGCAUCAGAAAUAACCGCAGAGAAAAAACAGCCCACCAGAAAUAUUCAAUCCGAGUCGAUCGCCGACCCACAAGAAAAUCAGUAUUCCAUUGAUUGCCGGUUAACCUAAAACAUAGGAUAUUAUCCUACACUAAGGUCCGACUGAGCUUUAGCAAGCUUCGGACGACAUACGGUCCGCCCUGGUUGUGACACCAGGGACACUCUACCGCCUAGUUGCCUAUCUCUUCCUAUAUAGGAAAUUGGUAUAUACUCGGAUGAUGCAAACAUCAUAGUUAUCAGUGGGUGCAAAAAUUAUAUAAGUGCCUACAUCUCAGCUGACGCAACUGUCAGUAGGGUUCAAAACCAAUCAAACCACCUACAUCUAAGCUGUUUUGGUGCUAGAGAUGUUGGCAUCAAAAACAUGACUGCCUAGAAGGUAUAUUAUUGUUUCGAAAAUAUUCAAGAUUUUUGAUGAACGUCGUCAGCGAUUGGUGGUAUUGUUCAGAGACAAGCUUUACUAUGGAAAAGUUCGCCUAAAACAGCGGUAAUCCACCUUUUUCAGACGGGCCGCAAACACGUGUUAGUGUUAGACACAAAGAAAAUAAAGAUGGGACCAAGACACGAUCGCAUUGUUAACAUAGAACUACGAAAUUAUUGCUUAUUAUUGCAAACAUUGAAGUGGUUCAAUGAUAAAACUUUGAUACAAAUAUUGGGUAGGGGAAAAAGAAAUAUCGUAUAUUGUCAAUAUAUGGUAACACUUAAACAUAUCUUGGGUUGUACUUAUCGCAUCGGGUCAUACUAUAUGGCUAUUUUGCCUUCUAUAUGGCAACAAGUUUGCGAACAAAACGGCGCGUAUUUGACUUAAAUUGGAUAAUUUUAAGUAUGUUAAAAAAGCGACGACAUUUCUUUUUCCCCAAUCCUAUAUUUGAUAGCAAUGCGUUAACGUUUCGCAAGCAAUUUAAGUAGAUUGUAGAAUUAAUACUACAUUAAUACUACUUUUUCUCCGACACUACAGUCGGAGAAAAAAGAGAGAAUCGAGACGCUCAUUCUACCGUUUUGUUUUGUUCUCUAAAUCGUUUGUAGUAUGACAGUAGCUCACUAGCUGAAAAGUUUUUGAUCGCGUGUGAACUAUGACAUGAUACUUUUGAUAUACGUGAACGUCAUCAAAAAUGUGGACUGUUUACAACUCUGGUUUUAUGAAUAUAGUUUGAGCAACCACCAAAACUGAAAGCAGAAGUAAAGAACUGACUUUUCGCAGUUCCAUUUUUGUUGAAGAACUGGUGCUAUAUUCACUCAAUCAACGGUUUACAAAGCCAGUUAUCAUUUCUAAACCCAUAAAAUUUAGUUAAUGAAAUGCGCUCUAUAACAAUACCAAUUCGAACAAACGUUGAAUAAACUAUCAAACUUUGUUCAAAGUAAGCUUUGAAUUUUGGUUUCCUUCGAUAUGAUUGUGAAGACAUUUGAAGACAUUUUUCGUAUAAUGUGAAGACAUUUGAAAAAAUCACCUGGCAUCCCUGCUUGCAUAUCACAUGAUUGUUCCACCUGGUUUAUAUAUACAAACAUACCUUGUGCUUGUUUACUGUCAGUGUUCAAUGGUAAUGUUUAAUGGUCUCAGGUUUAUUGAAGCAAUGACUUUUAAAAUAUAUAUUUGAGUGCAAAUAACAAUGAACAAAACCAACUGUGAAAUAACUAGUGGGCCGAAUAUUGUUAUGGAGGCUCCAAAAUCGAAACUCUUUGCUCAAACUAUUGUGGACAUUAAGGAUGACUUCGAAGAUAAAUAUGAGAAGGUUUAUCGAUCAUACGAAAAGACUAUUUUGAAUGCGAAUGAUAAAGAAUUACAACACCUGCUAUCAGCAACUUUAUGUAAAGAGAAACAACAUGAAGAGAUAUGCUUAGCGCUGAUGUACACGAUUUUGACAGAUGCAAGCGCUGCAGAGAAAGCAUAUUGUGAUCUCACGUUAUUAACCCACGAUGGUCUUUUGUUUGUAACGAACAAUUUGGCAAUGCUCGUAGCUGAAAAAUAUCAUCGGCUGAAUGAUGUUUCACGAAAGCAGUUAUUAUGGUUUCUUAGAGAACUAAUUAAAAAUCAAGUGAUGAAUGUUGAUAAUCUUGUGUGGAACAUAUUACGACAAGCUAGCGGUGGAGAUAUAAGCUCAAGAAAUAUAGCCUUAGUAGAAGGUCUUUUGGAUAUAUUUAUCGAAUAUCGCUUAUGGUUGGAAAAAGACCAGUUUUUAGUCGGCACCGUAGUCUAUACGUUUUUGAGGUAACUAAUGAGAAAGUAUAUAUUUUAGUAUGAAUAGUUUUAGAGAUUUUCUAUCAAUUCCCAUUCUUGUUGAAUCGUGUUAUUAGUAUUAUCAGAAAACGACACAUUUCGACAGCAACCGUUGAAACAUAAAGAAAAUAAUAGUGAUAACUAAGUCACAUUUCAUAGUGUAUGAAAAUCUGUGACCGGAAAAAAUCUAGAAGAAAGUAAGAGCAUCAGAAAUAACCGCAGAGAAAAAACAGCCCACCAGAAAUAUUCAAUCCGAGUCGAUCGCCGACCCACAAGAAAAUCAGUAUUCCAUUGAUUGCCGGUUAACCUAAAACAUAGGAUAUUAUCCUACACUAAGGUCCGACUGAGCUUUAGCAAGCUUCGGACGACAUACGGUCCGCCCUGGUUGUGACACCAGGGACACUACCGCCUAGUUGCCUAUCUCUUCCUAUAUAGGAAAUUGGUAUAUACUCGGAUGAUGCAAACAUCAUAGUUAUCAGUGGGUGCAAAAAUUAUAUAAGUGCCUACAUCUCAGCUGACGCAACUGUCAGUAGGGUUCAAAACCAAUCAAACCACCUACAUCUAAGCUGUUUUGGUGCUAGAGAUGUUGGCAUCAAAAACAUGACUGCCUAGAAGGUAUAUUAUUGUUUCGAAAAUAUUCAAGAUUUUUGAUGAACGUCGUCAGCGAUUGGUGGUAUUGUUCAGAGACAAGCUUUACUAUGGAAAAGUUCGCCUAAAACAGCGGUAAUCCACCUUUUUCAGACGGGCCGCAAACACGUGUUAGUGUUAGACACAAAGAAAAUAAAGAUGGGACCAAGACACGAUCGCAUUGUUAACAUAGAACUACGAAAUUAUUGCUUAUUAUUGCAAACAUUGAAGUGGUUCAAUGAUAAAACUUUGAUACAAAUAUUGGGUAGGGGAAAAAGAAAUAUCGUAUAUUGUCAAUAUAUGGUAACACUUAAACAUAUCUUGGGUUGUACUUAUCGCAUCGGGUCAUACUAUAUGGCUAUUUUGCCUUCUAUAUGGCAACAAGUUUGCGAACAAAACGGCGCGUAUUUGACUUAAAUUGGAUAAUUUUAAGUAUGUUAAAAAAGCGACGACAUUUCUUUUUCCCCAAUCCUAUAUUUGAUAGCAAUGCGUUAACGUUUCGCAAGCAAUUUAAGUAGAUUGUAGAAUUAAUACUACAUUAAUACUACUUUUUCUCCGACACUACAGUCGGAGAAAAAAGAGAGAAUCGAGACGCUCAUUCUACCGUUUUGUUUUGUUCUCUAAAUCGUUUGUAGUAUGAAGUAGCUCACUAGCUGAAAAGUUUUUGAUCGCGUGUGAACUAUGACAUGAUACUUUUGAUAUACGUGAACGUCAUCAAAAAUGUGGACUGUUUACAACUCUGGUUUUAUGAAUAUAGUUUGAGCAACCACCAAAACUGAAAGCAGAAGUAAAGAACUGACUUUUCGCAGUUCCAUUUUUGUUGAAGAACUGGUGCUAUAUUCACUCAAUCAACGGUUUACAAAGCCAGUUAUCAUUUCUAAACCCAUAAAAUUUAGUUCGCUGUUGUUCUUUGUUCAUCCUUUUUGGAAUGAACUUCAAAACUUCAAGGUAAGUUUAAUGAAAUGCGCUCUAUAACAAUACCAAUUCGAACAAACGUUGAAUAAACUAUCAAACUUUGUUCAAAGUAAGCUUUGAAUUUUGGUUUCCUUCGAUAUGAUUGUGAAGACAUUUGAAGACAUUUUUCGUAUAAUGUGAAGACAUUUGAAAAAAUCACCUGGCAUCCCUGCUUGCAUAUCACAUGAUUGUUCCACCUGGUUUAUAUAUACAAACAUACCUUGUGCUUGUUUACUGUCAGUGUUCAAUGGUAAUGUUUAAUGGUCUCAGGUUUAUUGAAGCAAUGACUUUUAAAAUAUAUAUUUGAGUGCAAAUAACAAUGAACAAAACCAACUGUGAAAUAACUAGUGGGCCGAAUAUUGUUAUGGAGGCUCCAAAAUCGAAACUCUUUGCUCAAACUAUUGUGGACAUUAAGGAUGACUUCGAAGAUAAAUAUGAGAAGGCUUAUCGAUCAUACGAAAAGACUAUUUUGAAUGCGAAUGAUAAAGAAUUACAACACCUGCUAUCAGCAACUUUAUGUAAAGAGAAACAACAUGAAGAGAUAUGCUUAGCGCUGAUGUACACGAUUUUGACAGAUCCAAGCGCUGCAGAGAAAGCAUAUUGUGAUCUCACGUUAUUUACCCACGAUGGUCUUUUGUUUGUAACGAACAAUUUGGCAAUGCUCGUAGCUGAAAAAUAUCAUCGGCUGAAUGAUGUUUCACGAAAGCAGUUAUUAUGGUUUCUUAGAGAACUAAUUAAAAAUCAAGUGAUGAAUGUUGAUAAUCUUGUGUGGAACAUAUUACGACAAGCUAGCGGUGGAGAUAUAAGCCCAAGAAAUAUAGCCUUAGUAGAAGGUCUUUUGGAUAUAUUUAUCGAAUAUCGCUUAUGGUUGGAAAAAGACCAGUUUUUAGUCGGCACCGUAGUCUAUACGUUUUUGAGGUAACUAAUGAGAAAGUAUAUAUUUUAGUAUGAAUAGUUUUAGAGAUUUUCUAUCAAUUCCCAUUCUUGUUGAAUCGUGUUAUUAGUAUUAUCAGAAAACGACACAUUUCGACAGCAACCGUUGAAACAUAAAGAAAAUAAUAGUGAUAACUAAGUCACAUUUCAUAGUGUAUGAAAAUCUGUGACCGGAAAAAAUCUAGAAGAAAGUAAGAGCAUCAGAAAUAACCGCAGAGAAAAAACAGCCCACCAGAAAUAUUCAAUCCGAGUCGAUCGCCGACCCACAAGAAAAUCAGUAUUCCAUUGAUUGCCGGUUAACCUAAAACAUAGGAUAUUAUCCUACACUAAGGUCCGACUGAGCUUUAGCAAGCUUCGGACGACAUACGGUCCGCCCUGGUUGUGACACCAGGGACACUCUACCGCCUAGUUGCCUAUCUCUUCCUAUAUAGGAAAUUGGUAUAUACUCGGAUGAUGCAAACAUCAUAGUUAUCAGUGGGUGCAAAAAUUAUAUAAGUGCCUACAUCUCAGCUGACGCAACUGUCAGUAGGGUUCAAAACCAAUCAAACCACCUACAUCUAAGCUGUUUUGGUGCUAGAGAUGUUGGCAUCAAAAACAUGACUGCCUAGAAGGUAUAUUAUUGUUUCGAAAAUAUUCAUGAUUUUUGAUGAACGUCGUCAGCGAUUGGUGGUAUUGUUCAGAGACAAGCUUUACUAUGGAAAAGUUCGCCUAAAACAGCGGUAAUCCACCUUUUUCAGACGGGCCGCAAACACGUGUUAGUGUUAGUGUCGCGGGCCACAAAGAAAAUAAAGAAGGGACCAAGACACGACCGCAUUGUUAACAUAGAACUACGAAAUUAUUGCAUAUUAUUGCAAACAUUGAAGUGGUUCAAUGAUAAAACUUUGAUACAAAUAUUGGGUUGGGGAAAAAGAAAUAUCGUAUAUUGUCAAUAUAUGGUAACACUUAAACAUAUCUUGGGUUGUACUUAUCGCAUCGGGUCAUACUAUACGGCUAUUUUGCCUUCUAUAUGGCAACAAGUUUGCGAACAAAACGGCGCGUAUUUGACUUAAAUUGGAUAAUUUUAAGUAUGUUAAAAAAGCGACGACAUUUCUUUUCCCCAAUCCUAUAUUUGAUAGCAAUGCGCUAACGUUUCGCAAGCAAUUUAAGUAGAUUGUAGAAUUAAUUCUG
Long non-coding RNA from Toxorhynchites rutilus septentrionalis, 6094 nucleotides. RefSeq lists it as uncharacterized. The record is from RefSeq and is a predicted model, not a curated record. The transcript is spliced from 3 exons. NCBI's taxonomy places the organism in Eukaryota, Metazoa, Arthropoda, Insecta, Diptera, Culicidae.